This 45-nucleotide non-coding RNA is filed under the name Schistosoma mattheei. The record is from RNAcentral. Lineage: Eukaryota; Metazoa; Platyhelminthes; Trematoda; Strigeidida; Schistosomatidae.
AUCCCGCUGACGAGUCCCAAACAGGACGAAACCCCCAUCAUAGAU